RNAcentral lists this long non-coding RNA (420 nucleotides) under Physcomitrium patens. Its description in RNAcentral is "long non-coding RNA (PPAT_LNC011895)". Lineage: Eukaryota; Viridiplantae; Streptophyta; Bryopsida; Funariales; Funariaceae. The record is from RNAcentral.
UCCAUCAAGGUAUUAGAAAGGAUGCAACCUUAAAUAGAACUUGACUUUUUGUAGAAAUCCUCAAAAUUUUGAUCCUCAUCCAUUAAACUUCUCAAAUAUAUUAAUCCUUAUUUCUAUCAUACUUAUAUAAGCAAAACUUCUUAAAUUUGGUUGUGAGGUCAAUCUACUUGCUUCUUUCAACUGCACAACUUCUUGCUGCAGAUUCUGAAUUUUUUUUGGUAUAGGAAUAAUACCUCCAUAAUUUAUAUUGAAAGUAUGUAAGAUAUCUAUUUUUAGAAUAUUAAUAAGCUCAUAAAGAUCUAUAAUAAUUUCAAAUCUAUUCUCACUUCCAUUGAGAGUAGUAUCUAUAAUCUUUCAUUUGAUAGAAAACUCAAACAAAUUCAAUUUAAAUUAAAAGAGGAUAAUUUGUAACCUUUGAUA